RNAcentral lists this long non-coding RNA (512 nucleotides) under Homo sapiens (human). RNAcentral describes it as "non-protein coding lnc-DIRAS2-8:1". The record is from RNAcentral. Lineage: Eukaryota; Metazoa; Chordata; Mammalia; Primates; Hominidae.
AGGCAAUUGUUUCCCAUUAGGGAAAUGUUGGGUUUCCUUUAGUGAUGAAAGGCAAUAACACAACAUGUAAUUCCUGUAGCUGUAAUAUAAUGCGUCCAGAACCAAAACACAACCCUCCCGGGAGCCAUAUCUACAGAGUGCCCAGAAAGGAAGUGAGGUCUCAGAAGCCACUGGAUCCUGGAACACCUCACUCUUGCUGAUUAAAUUCUGCAGCCUGCAGAGAACCCCCUUGUCUCUGGCAAGCACCUUCUGAACACAAAAUAGAAAAGACCUCAAGCAGAGCUGUGGGGAGAAAAAUGUUCUGCCUUCCAGUGAUGUGAGAAAAGAAAACACAGUGAAGGCCAGGGUAAAGGAGAAGAUGAAGUUGUUUUGAUUUUCCCACAGGGGAUAUUCAGCAGAUGAAUUUGCCUAUUUUCUUUCUCCUAAACAGCCAGGCUACCUUGAGAGAAGCAAGAGAUCCUCUCCCUUUUGCCAAAAUCUGCCUCCCCCAGGAGACUGUGCUUUGCUCAUAC